RNAcentral lists this transfer RNA (73 nucleotides) under Minisyncoccota bacterium. RNAcentral describes it as "tRNA-Ala". It matches the Rfam family "tRNA". Rfam says of the family: Transfer RNA (tRNA) molecules are approximately 80 nucleotides in length. Their secondary structure includes four short double-helical elements and three loops (D, anti-codon, and T loops). The record is from RNAcentral. Lineage: Bacteria; Bacillati; Minisyncoccota.
GGGCCCUUAGCUCACUUGGUAGAGCGCUUCCAUGGCAUGGAAGAGGUAACCGGUUCGAUCCCGGUAGGGUCCA